UACGUAGGGGGCAAGCGUUGUCCGGAUUUAUUGGGCGUAAAGAGCGUGUAGGCGGCUGGGUAGGUCCGUUGUGAAAACUCGAGGCUCAACCUCGAGACGCCGAUGGAAACCCUCCAGCUAGAGUCCGGAAGAGGAGAGUGGAAUUCCCGGUGUAGCGGUGAAAUGCGCAGAUAUCGGGAAGAACACCCGUGGCGAAGGCGGCUCUCUGGGACGGUACUGACGCUGAGACGCGAAAGCGUGGGGAGCAAACAGG
This 253-nucleotide ribosomal RNA is filed under the name uncultured bacterium. RNAcentral's name for it is "partial 16S ribosomal RNA". It matches the Rfam family "Bacterial small subunit ribosomal RNA", at positions 524 to 776 of the family's 1533-position model. The record is from RNAcentral.